This 499-nucleotide ribosomal RNA is filed under the name uncultured Lachnospiraceae bacterium. RNAcentral describes it as "bacterial SSU rRNA". It matches the Rfam family "Bacterial small subunit ribosomal RNA", at positions 8 to 507 of the family's 1533-position model. Lineage: Bacteria; Bacillati; Bacillota; Clostridia; Lachnospirales; Lachnospiraceae. The record is from RNAcentral.
AGAGUUUGAUCCUGGCUCAGGAUGAACGCUGGCGGCGUGCCUAACACAUGCAAGUCGAACGAAGCAUGACCCUUGAGGCCUUCGGGCGAAGGGGCCAUGACUUAGUGGCGGACGGGUGAGUAACGCGUGGGUAACCUGCCCUAUACUGGGGGAUAACAGCUAGAAAUGGCUGCUAAUACCGCAUGAGCGCACAGUCCCGCAUGGGACAGUGCGGAAAACUCCGGUGGUAUAGGAUGGACCCGCGUCCGAUCAGCUGGUUGGUGGGGUAACGGCCCACCAAGGCGACGAUCGGUAGCCGACCUGAGAGGGUGACCGGCCACAUUGGGACUGAGACACGGCCCAAACUCCUACGGGAGGCAGCAGUGGGGGAUAUUGCACAAUGGGGGGAACCCUGAUGCAGCGACGCCGCGUGAGUGAAGGAGUACUCCGGUAUGUAAAGCUCUAUCAGCAGGGAAGAACAAAGACGGUACCUGACCAAGAAGCCCCGGCUAACUACGUG